This 43-nucleotide ribosomal RNA is filed under the name Paliurus spina-christi. RNAcentral describes it as "partial 26S ribosomal RNA". The record is from RNAcentral. Lineage: Eukaryota; Viridiplantae; Streptophyta; Magnoliopsida; Rosales; Rhamnaceae. RNAcentral also lists the same sequence under 4 other names.
GACCCCAGGUCAGGCGGGGCCACCCGCUGAGUUUAAGCAUAUC